Molecule: ribosomal RNA, 423 nt
Filed under: uncultured bacterium
Lineage: Bacteria
Description: bacterial SSU rRNA
Rfam family: Bacterial small subunit ribosomal RNA
Source: RNAcentral
UGAGGAAUAUUGGUCAAUGGGCGGAAGCCUGAACCAGCCAUGCCGCGUGCAGGACGACGGCCCUACGGGUUGUAAACUGCUUUUCCGGGGGAAGAAUAACCCCCCUGCGGGGGGGGAUGCCGGUACCCCGGGAAUAAGGAUCGGCUAACUCCGUGCCAGCAGCCGCGGUAAUACGGAGGAUACUAGCGUUAUCCGGAUUUACUGGGUUUAAAGGGUGCGUAGGCGGACCCCUAAGUCCGCGGUGAAAGUCUGCGGCUCAACCGUAGGAUUGCCGUGGAUACUGGGGGUCUUGGAUGCGGUCGGGGCGGGCGGAAUGCGUGGUGUAGCGGUGAAAUGCAUAGAUAUCACGCAGAACGCCGAUAGCGAAGGCAGCUCGCCGGGCCGAUAUUGACGCUGAGGCACGAAAGCGUGGGGAUCGAACAG